GACGAACGCUGGCGGCGUGCUUAACACAUGCAAGUCGUACGGUAAGGCCCUUUCGGGGGUCCACGAGUGGCGAACGGGUGAGUAACACGUGAGUAACCUGCCCACAACUUUGGGAUAACGCUAGGAAACUGGUGCUAAUACUGGAUAUGUGCUCCUGCUGCAUGGUGGGGGUUGGAAAGCUCCGGCGGUUGUGGAUGGACUCGCGGCCUAUCAGCUUGUUGGUGGGGUAGUGGCCUACCAAGGCGGCGACGGGUAGCCGGCCUGAGAGGGUGACCGGCCACAUUGGGACUGAGAUACGGCCCAGACUCCUACGGGAGGCAGCAGUGGGGAAUAUUGCACAAUGGGCGCAAGCCUGAUGCAGCAACGCCGCGUGCGGGAUGACGGCCUUCGGGUUGAAAACCGCUUUCAGCAGGGACGAAGCUUUUUGUGACGGUACCUGCAGAAGAAGCACCGGCUAACUACGUG
RNAcentral lists this ribosomal RNA (465 nucleotides) under uncultured bacterium. RNAcentral describes it as "partial 16S ribosomal RNA". It matches the Rfam family "Bacterial small subunit ribosomal RNA", at positions 28 to 507 of the family's 1533-position model. The record is from RNAcentral.